RNAcentral lists this ribosomal RNA (280 nucleotides) under uncultured bacterium. Its description in RNAcentral is "partial 16S ribosomal RNA". It matches the Rfam family "Bacterial small subunit ribosomal RNA", at positions 506 to 784 of the family's 1533-position model. The record is from RNAcentral.
UGCCAGCCGCCGCGGUAAUACGGGGGGUGCAAGCGUUAUUCGGAUUUAUUGGGCGUAAAGCGCGCGUAGGCGGCUGGGUAAGUCUGGUGUGAAAACGCUACUGCUCAACAGAGCGAUUGCAUUGGAUACUGCCCAACUUGAGUGCGGGAGAGGUGAGCAGAAUACCUGGUGUAGCGGUGGAAUGCGUAGAUAUCAGGUAGAAUACCAGUGGCGAAGGCGGCUCACUGGCCCGCAACUGACGCUGAGGUGCGAAAGCGUGGGGAGCGAACGGGAUUAGAUA